This 275-nucleotide ribosomal RNA is filed under the name uncultured prokaryote. RNAcentral's name for it is "partial 16S ribosomal RNA". It matches the Rfam family "Bacterial small subunit ribosomal RNA", at positions 524 to 798 of the family's 1533-position model. The record is from RNAcentral.
CACGGGGGUUGCGAGCGUUGUCCGGAAUUACUAGGCGUAAAGGGCAGGCAGGCGGAUCCAUAAGUUUAUCGUUUAAGGCGUCGGCUUAACCGGCGUAGGGCGGUAGAUACUGUGGAUCUGGAAUGCGGUUGGGGAAGACAGAAUUCCUGGUGUAGCGGUGGAAUGCGCAGAGAUCAGGAGGAAUACCGAAGGCGAAGGCAGUCUUCCAAGCCGUUAUUGACGCUCAACUGCGAAGGUGUGGGUAUCAAACAUGAUUAGAUACCCUGGUAGUCCCU